CUUCUUAUGAAGCUACUGUCAGGAUUCAUCGUCGAGAUCGAUAUUCCCAUUUUGUCUACGGUUACCGCCAGAAUAACCUUUCAUGAAUUUGCAUUUGGAAAUGACAAAUUUGAAACUCUUACAAGUGCUCUUGGGUUACUUUAAAGAUUCAAUCAGCCUCCGAUGAGAAGAGUUUCCACAAAUCCUUCCCUUGAUACUCAGAUAUCAGGAAGUAUGUCUGGAAGCUCAGGCAGGAGAAAGUCCAUUCUUAGGUCAAAAUCUUGUAUACAAGGAAAGUAGUGAAUCUAUCAAAGCGACAGUAGCGAUGUAUAUGGAUUUUUCAUUGACCGUGGACAUGCUUCUAAAUGUUUUGGAAGUGACCGCACUGUUCAAACACUUCAGUAAACUUAGACAUCUUAUGAAGCUACUGCCAGGAUUCACCGUCGAGAUCGAUAUUCCUAUUUUGUCUACCACCAGAAUAACCUUUCAAGAAUUUGCAUUUGGAAAUGACAAAUUCGAAACUCUUGGAUUACCUUAAAGAUUCAAUCAUUUUUGGAGACUGGGAGUUGCCAGGUGAGGGAGAGCAAGAAACACCGAUUCAAAAAUCUGAGACUUUUUGCAGUUUGAGCUGAAAG
Venturia canescens is the source of this 614-nucleotide long non-coding RNA. RefSeq lists it as uncharacterized. The transcript is spliced from 3 exons. The record is from RefSeq and is a predicted model, not a curated record. Lineage: Eukaryota; Metazoa; Arthropoda; Insecta; Hymenoptera; Ichneumonidae.